UUGCACUUCGCUUUUUAUACAACG
This 24-nucleotide microRNA is filed under the name Drosophila virilis. RNAcentral's name for it is "dvi-miR-9709-5p". The record is from miRBase by way of RNAcentral. Lineage: Eukaryota; Metazoa; Arthropoda; Insecta; Diptera; Drosophilidae.